Molecule: long non-coding RNA, 660 nt
Organism: Manihot esculenta (cassava)
Lineage: Eukaryota; Viridiplantae; Streptophyta; Magnoliopsida; Malpighiales; Euphorbiaceae
Exons: 2
Source: RefSeq, a predicted model, not a curated record
AAAAAAAAUCAAUAAAAUGAAAAAAAUCUCGUGGUCCAAAGCCAACAAAGGCAUGUGAUGUGAUCAUAUCAUUACCAGACUACGGUGGGAAUCUACUGUGAAGCCUCUUCCCGAGAGACCUUUCCUUUUCUUUGUCCACCCCACCAUUAUUAUUAUUUAUGUCCUCUCUCAAUCUCUUCUUUUCACCAGACCACCGGCUUCAAAUGGGUAUUUCCAUCUAGGGUUUGCUAGCUGGUUUCUCACCCAUAGCACAUGUGGAUGGCUAUAAAAGGAAGUUUUUAGCAGCUGCAACCAGCAAAGAUGGAAGGAACUUGACUUUUCUUUCACAUGUGGCUAGUAGUUUUCUGGAGAUUCGUUUAAGCCUGUAGAACGUGGCUGUCACAGUGGAGGGGAAACUCCGAUGAAGGUAAAGGCAUUGGUUCAGUUUCGAUUUUCAUAUUUGAAUCCGGGUCAGCAACCGAAUUCUAGGGCUCCAUUUGAUUUUCAUUUAGAUUUUACUCUUAUUUUGGGUCUUGGAUUUCUUUUAUAUUAGAUUUUCUUGUAAAGAGACUCAUUCAAACUUCUGAAUCUUUAGUGAUUCCUUAUCCUGCUUGAACUGAAUGAGUUUGAAUGAAAUUAAAAGGUAAAAAAUUUAAUCCAGAUUGAAUUGGAGUUGAACAA